GAUGAAGAACGUAGUGAAAUGCGAUAAGUAAUGUGAAUUGCAGAAUUCAGUGAAUCAUCGAAUCUUUGAACGCACAUUGCGCCCGGUAGUAUUCUGCCGGGCAUGCCUGUUCGAGCGUCAUUUCAACCAUCAAGCCCCAGCGCUUGUGUUGGGGGCCUGCGGCUGCCGCAGCCCCCUAAAAGCAGUGGCGGGCUCGCUAUCACACCGAGUGCAGUAGUUCAUCUUCUCUCCGGUCUUGUGAGGCGGGUUCCGGCCGUGAAACACCCCACUACAUUCAAGGUUGACCUCCGAUCAGGUAGGAAUACCCGCUGAACUUAAGCAUAUCAAUAAGCGGAGGA
Molecule: unclassified non-coding RNA, 338 nt
Filed under: soil metagenome
Description: partial contains 5.8S ribosomal RNA, internal transcribed spacer 2, and large subunit ribosomal RNA
Rfam family: 5.8S ribosomal RNA (bases 1-120)
Source: RNAcentral